UCAGACGAUGCGUCAUGCAUAUCAAUAAGCGGAGGAAAAGAAACUAACAAGGAUUCCCUUAGUAACGGCGAGUGAAGCGGGAAGAGCUCAAAUUUGAAAUCUUCAAGGUUUGACCUUGACGAAUUGUAGUUUAAAGAAGUGUUUUCGGUUAGAGAGUUUGGUAAAAGUUCUUUGGAAUAGGACAUCAUAGAAGGUGAGAAUCCCGUAUUUGACCAUUAUUUUCAGCUGUGUGAUACACUCUCAAAGAGUCGGAUUGUUUGGGAAUGCAGUCCAAAAUGGGUGGUAAAUUUCAUCUAAAGCUAAAUAUUGGCGAGAGACCGAUAGCGAACAAGUACCGUGAGGGAAAGAUGAAAAGAACUUUGAAAAGAGAGUUAAACAGUACGUGAAAUUGUCAAAAGGGAAGCGUUUGACACCAGUGUUGUUUUCUCGAAAAUCAAUUAAAAAGAGUUGGAUUUUGUGUUGUAUUGACCUUAUCAGCUUUCUGCACUCUCUUCCUGUCUUUUUUAAUGCACUUUUCGUUUAACAAGUCAACAUCAGUUUCUUUUGUUGUAAAAGGGUCAUUGGAAGGUGGCUUUCUCUUCGGAGAAAGUGUUUAUAGCCUUUGAUCUCUGUAAUCGGAGAGACUGAGGUCUGCAGCGUAGAUCCUUCGGGGUUAGAUACAUUUGUGCUAAGCUACAGCUUUUCAUAGACAACUUGUUGACUAUGAUUAGUCAUUGUAGCUUACCUCGCUUAUGCUAUUUUACCUACGCUUAGGAUGUUGAUAUGCAUGACUGAUAU
This 777-nucleotide ribosomal RNA is filed under the name uncultured Neocallimastigales. RNAcentral's name for it is "partial large subunit ribosomal RNA". It matches the Rfam family "Eukaryotic large subunit ribosomal RNA", at positions 18 to 640 of the family's 3401-position model. The record is from RNAcentral. Lineage: Eukaryota; Fungi; Neocallimastigomycota; Neocallimastigomycetes; Neocallimastigales.